RNAcentral lists this ribosomal RNA (463 nucleotides) under uncultured bacterium. RNAcentral's name for it is "partial 16S ribosomal RNA". It matches the Rfam family "Bacterial small subunit ribosomal RNA", at positions 28 to 507 of the family's 1533-position model. The record is from RNAcentral.
GACGAACGCUGGCGGCGUGCUUAACACAUGCAAGUCGAGCGGAAAGGCCACUUCGGUGGUACUCGAGCGGCGAACGGGUGAGUAACACGUGAGUAAUCUGCCCCUCACUUUGGGAUAGCCACCGGAAACGGUGAUUAAUACCGGAUAUGACCAUAUGUCGCAUGGCGUGUGGUGGAAAGUUUUUCGGUGAGGGAUGUGCUCGCGGCCUAUCAGCUUGAUGGUGAGGUAAUGGCUCACCAUGGCUUCGUCGGGUAGCCGGCCUGAGAGGGUGACCGGUCACAAGGGGACUGAGACACGGCGCAGACUCGAACGUGAGGCAGUAGUGGAAAAUAUUACACAAUGAGCGGAAGCGUGAGCCAACGGCGCCGCGUGAGUGAAAACGGGCUUCGAGGUGUGAACCUAUGUCUGUACCGACGAGGCGCAAGUGACGGUAGGUACAGAAGAAGCACCGGCCAACUACGUG